AGUGAACGCUGGCGGCAGGCCUAACACAUGCAAGUCGAACGGCCGCACAGUAAGAUCUCGCUCUUACGGGUGGCGAGUGGCGGAUGGGUGACGCAUACAUCGCAAUCUACUAUUUCGUGGGUGAUAACGUAGGGACACUUCCGCUAAUACCGCAUAUGAUCUACGGGUUAAUGCAGUGGUUCUUCGCACUUUGCGCGUCUGAAUUAGCCGAUGUCGGAUUAGCUAGUUGGCGUGGUAAAGUCCCACCAAGGCAACGAUCCGUAGCUGAGCUGAGAGGAUGAUCAGCCACACUGGAACUGAGACACGGUCCAGACUCCUACGGGAGGCAGCAGUGGGGAAUAUUGGGCAAUGGGCGAAAGCCUGAUGCAGCCAUGCCGCGUGGGUGAAGAAGGCCUUCGGGUUGUAAAACUCUGUUGUUAGGGAAGAAAAGAAGCAGGUGAAUACACCGCUGUUUUGACGGUACCCAAACAAAAAGCACCGGCUAACUUCGUG
This 492-nucleotide ribosomal RNA is filed under the name uncultured bacterium. RNAcentral's name for it is "partial 16S ribosomal RNA". It matches the Rfam family "Bacterial small subunit ribosomal RNA", at positions 29 to 507 of the family's 1533-position model. The record is from RNAcentral.